Molecule: ribosomal RNA, 484 nt
Filed under: uncultured bacterium
Lineage: Bacteria
Description: partial 16S ribosomal RNA
Rfam family: Bacterial small subunit ribosomal RNA
Source: RNAcentral
AUUGAACGCUGGCGGCAGGCCUAACACAUGCAAGUCGAGCGGAUGAAGGGAGCUUGCUCCUGGAUUCAGCGGCGGACGGGUGAGUAAUGCCUAGGAAUCUGCCUGGUAGUGGGGGAUAACGUCCGGAAACGGGCGCUAAUACCGCAUACGUCCUGCGGGAGAAAGUGGGGGAUCUUCGGACCUCACGCUAUCAGAUGAGCCUAGGUCGGAUUAGCUAGUUGGUGGGGUAAAGGCCUACCAAGGCGACGAUCCGUAACUGGUCUGAGAGGAUGAUCAGUCACACGGGAACUGAGACACGGUCCAGACUCCUACGGGAGGCAGCAGUGGAGAAUAUUGGACGAUGGGGGAAAGCCUGAUCCAGCCAUGCCGCGUGUGUGAAGAAGGUCUUCGGAUUGUAAAGCACUUUAAGUUGGGGGGAAGGGCAGUAAGUUAAUACCUUGCUGUUUUGACGUUACCAACAGAAUAAGCACCGGCUAACUUCGUG